This 835-nucleotide ribosomal RNA is filed under the name Rufibacter tibetensis. RNAcentral's name for it is "bacterial SSU rRNA". It matches the Rfam family "Bacterial small subunit ribosomal RNA", at positions 56 to 902 of the family's 1533-position model. The record is from RNAcentral. Lineage: Bacteria; Pseudomonadati; Bacteroidota; Cytophagia; Cytophagales; Hymenobacteraceae.
UGCAAGUCGAACGGCGUCCCUCGGGGCGCAGUGGCGCACGGGUGCGUAACGCGUAUGCAACCUACCUUGAACUGGGGGAUAGCCCGGAGAAAUCCGGAUUAAUACCGCAUAACACCAUGUGAGGGCAUCUGAGUAUGGUUAAAGAUUCAUUGGUUCAAGAUGGGCAUGCGUGCCAUUAGCUAGUUGGUGGUGUAACGGACCACCAAGGCUACGAUGGCUAGGGGUUCUGAGAGGACGGUCCCCCACACUGGCACUGAGAUACGGGCCAGACUCCUACGGGAGGCAGCAGUAGGGAAUAUUGGGCAAUGGGCGGAAGCCUGACCCAGCCAUGCCGCGUGCAGGAUGAAGGCCUUCUGGGUUGUAAACUGCUUUUAUCAGGGAAGAAAACACCCAUGCGUGGGGAACUGACGGUACCUGAGGAAUAAGCACCGGCUAACUCCGUGCCAGCAGCCGCGGUAAUACGGAGGGUGCAAGCGUUGUCCGGAUUUAUUGGGUUUAAAGGGUGCGUAGGCGGCCCAUUAAGUCAGUGGUGAAAGCCCGGGGCUCAACCCCGGAACCGCCAUUGAUACUGGUGGGCUUGAGUAUGGACGAGGUUGGCGGAAUUGAGGGUGUAGCGGUGAAAUGCUUAGAUACCCUCAAGAACACCGAUUGCGUAGGCAGCUAACUAGGCCAUAACUGACGCUGAGGCACGAAAGCGUGGGGAGCGAACAGGAUUAGAUACCCUGGUAGUCCACGCCGUAAACGAUGAUUACUCGAUGUCGGCGACAGACUGUCGGCGUCUUAGCGAAAGCGUUAAGUAAUCCACCUGGGGAGUACGCCCGCAAGGGUGAAACUC